UCAGAAUGAUGGACUACAAAAAAGUACUGGAUAAUUCGCUCAGCGAUCUUGAGCCUUUAUUGAAGAAAUCACUUCUGGGAAAACGAUUAGCUCAACAUCUUUCAUCUCCCCAAAAAGCAAUGAUUGAAAAAAUUGACAAAGAAGAGUUGGAUAGAUUCCAAAAUUUCAGAGAGAGCGCAUUUAAUUGUUUGGACCGGAUUAUUCUAGCCGCUAAUGAAGACUAUCAGUUUCAAAUAAAAGCACGAUCCACCGAAGAGCUACAAGCCCCAGUUUACAUGCUGAACAAGCAGAAGAAAAGCUUGAUUCGACAGAAUGAUGCUGUUUUACCUUGGGCCUCGAAAGAUAAGGAAGUGAAGCUAGAAGCCAAAAGUCCAGUAGAUUCGAGUUCCAGAAUAAGCGGAAGUUGUAUGGCCUCGGGUAGAGGAAGAAGCCUAUUGAAUCCCCCGACCACUGCGAAAAAACCAAAGCGCAAAUCUAGAGUGAUUCAUAAAAAAAGUUCAAUGGGAAAAUCAGCGAAAAAAGCCUUAUUCAGGAAAUCGAUGAAAGCGGCGAUCAAGAAAGAAGUUAACGUAUAUGCCACGCCAAAAGGAAGCACAUGUCUUAUGGUGAGGUACCCUCCAGGCGUACAAGCCAGGAAAUCCGUGCUGCAGAAAAGAGCCGAAGAAUUGUUUGUAGAUUUUGAAAGUGAAUUUUGAAGAAAAAAUGGAAUUGUAUGCAAAUAUAAACUUGGUAGUUUAAUCGUUUGGUAAGCCAAAGGCUGAUUUUUUGUUGUUUAAUUGCAAAAUUGCUAUUUGUGUGGCGUAGUUUGUUAUUGAUGAUUUUUUGAAUGA
This is a long non-coding RNA of Symsagittifera roscoffensis, 830 nucleotides long. RefSeq lists it as uncharacterized. The record is from RefSeq and is a predicted model, not a curated record. The transcript is spliced from 2 exons. NCBI's taxonomy places the organism in Eukaryota, Metazoa, Xenacoelomorpha, Acoela, Convolutidae.